GCAUUGGUGGUUCAGUGGUAGAAUUCCUGCCUCCCAUGCAGGAGACCCGGGUACGAUUCCCAGCCAAUGCA
RNAcentral lists this transfer RNA (71 nucleotides) under Danio rerio (zebrafish). It matches the Rfam family "tRNA". From Rfam's summary of the family: Transfer RNA (tRNA) molecules are approximately 80 nucleotides in length. Their secondary structure includes four short double-helical elements and three loops (D, anti-codon, and T loops). Lineage: Eukaryota; Metazoa; Chordata; Actinopteri; Cypriniformes; Danionidae. The record is from Rfam by way of RNAcentral.